CAGGGAAUCUUGCGCAAUGGGCGAAAGCCUGACGCAGCAACGCCGCGUGGGGGAUGACGGCCUUCGGGUUGUAAACCCCUUUCAGAAGGGAAGAAAUUGACGGUACCUUCAGAAGAAGCCCCGGCCAACUACGUGCCAGCAGCCGCGGUAAUACGUAGGGGGCGAGCGUUGUCCGGAAUUAUUGGGCGUAAAGAGCUCGUAGGCGGCUCAGCAAGUCGGCUGUGAAAUCCCGAGGCUCAACCUCGGAACUGCAGUCGAUACUGCUGUGGCUAGAGUCUGGUAGAGGAGAAUGGAAUUCCCGGUGUAGCGGUGAAAUGCGCAGAUAUCGGGAGGAACACCAGUAGCGAAGGCGGUUCUCUGGGCCAGUACUGACGCUGAGGAGCGAAAGCGUGGGUAGCAAACAG
This 404-nucleotide ribosomal RNA is filed under the name uncultured organism. RNAcentral's name for it is "bacterial SSU rRNA". It matches the Rfam family "Bacterial small subunit ribosomal RNA", at positions 355 to 775 of the family's 1533-position model. The record is from RNAcentral.